UAGCCGGUACUCGCGAAUGCUCUAGAUUAGAGUUUGAUCAUGGCUCAGACUUGAACGCUGGCGGCAGGCCUAACACACGCAAGUCGAACGGUAACAGGAAGCAGCUUGCUGCCUUGCUGACGAGUGGCGGACGGGUGAGUAAUGUCUGGGAAACUGCCUGAUGGAGUGGGGAUAACUACUGGAAACGGUAGCUAAUACCGCAUAACGUCGCAAGACCAAAGAGGGGGACCUUCGGGCCUCUUGCCAUCGGAUGUGCCCAGAUGGGAUUAGCUAGUAGGUGGGGUAACGGCUCACCUAGGCGACGAUCCCUAGCUGGUCUGAGAGGAUGACCAGCCACACUGGAACUGAGACACGGUCCAGACUCCUACGGGAGGCAGCAGUGGGGAAUAUUGCACAAUGGGCGCAAGCCUGAUGCAGCCAUGCCGCGUGUAUGAAGAAGGCCUUCGGGUUGUAAAGUACUUUCAGCGGGGAGGAAGGUGUUGAGGUUAAUAACCUCAGCAAUUGACGUUACCCGCGGAAGAAGCACCGGCUAACUCCGUGCCAGCAGCCGCGGUAAUACGGAGGGUGCAAGCGUUAAUCGGAAUUACUGGGCGUAAAGCGCACGCAGGCGGGUCUGUCCACGUCCGGAUGUGAAAAUCCCGGGGGCUCAACCUGNGGGAACUUGGGAUUUCGAAACUUGGNCAGGCUAAAGUCUCUGUAGAAGGGGGUAGAAUCCCGGUGUNACGGUGAAAGCGUGAGAUCUGGGGGAAA
This 750-nucleotide ribosomal RNA is filed under the name uncultured bacterium. Its description in RNAcentral is "bacterial SSU rRNA". It matches the Rfam family "Bacterial small subunit ribosomal RNA", at positions 1 to 707 of the family's 1533-position model. The record is from RNAcentral.